GAUAAACGCUGGCGGCGCACAUAAGACAUGCAAGUUGAACGGACUUAAUCGAAAUAUUUAUAUUUUGAAGCGGUUAGUGGCGGACUGGUGAGUAACGCGUAAGGAACCUGCCUAUUAGAGGGGAAUAACAGUGAGAAAUCAUUGCUAAUACCGCAUAUGCCAUAGAUAUCACAUGAUAACAGUGGGAAAGGAGCAAUCCGCUAAUAGAUGGCCUUGCGUCUGAUUAGAUAGUUGGUGGGGUAACGGCCUACCAAGUCGACGAUCAGUAGCCGGACUGAGAGGUUGAACGGCCACAUUGGGACUGAGAUACGGCCCAGACUCCUACGGGAGGCAGCAGUCGCGAAUAUUGCGCAAUGGAGGAAACUCUGACGCAGUGACGCCGCGUAUAGGAAGAAGGUUUUCGGAUUGUAAACUAUUGUCGUUAGGGAAGAGAAAGGACAGUACCUAAGGAGGAAGCUCCGGCUAACUACGUG
This 473-nucleotide ribosomal RNA is filed under the name uncultured bacterium. RNAcentral's name for it is "partial 16S ribosomal RNA". It matches the Rfam family "Bacterial small subunit ribosomal RNA", at positions 28 to 507 of the family's 1533-position model. The record is from RNAcentral.